This 194-nucleotide ribosomal RNA is filed under the name uncultured bacterium. Its description in RNAcentral is "partial 16S ribosomal RNA". It matches the Rfam family "Bacterial small subunit ribosomal RNA", at positions 335 to 526 of the family's 1533-position model. The record is from RNAcentral.
ACUCCUACGGGAGGCAGCGGUGAGGAAUAUUGGUCAAUGGGCGCAAGCCUGAACCAGCCAUGCCGCGUGCAGGAAGAAUGCCCUAUGGGUUGUAAACUGCUUUUAUUUGGGAAUAAACCUCUUUACGUGUAGAGAGCUGAAGGUACCAAAUGAAUAAGCACCGGCUAACUCCGUGCCAGCAGCCGCGGUAAUAC